RNAcentral lists this ribosomal RNA (301 nucleotides) under uncultured bacterium. RNAcentral describes it as "partial 16S ribosomal RNA". It matches the Rfam family "Bacterial small subunit ribosomal RNA", at positions 509 to 807 of the family's 1533-position model. The record is from RNAcentral.
CAGCAGCCACGGGAAUACAGAGGGUGCGAGCGUUAAUCGGAUUUACUGGGCGUAAAGCGUGCGUAGGCGGCUAAUUGAGUCGGAUGUGAAAUCCCCGAGCUUAACUUGGGAAUUGCAUUCGAUACUGGUUAGCUAGAGUGUGGGAGAGGAUGGUAGAAUUCCAGGUGUAGCGGUGAAAUGCGUAGAGAUCUGGAGGAAUACCGAUGGCGAAGGCAGCCAUCUGGCCUAACACUGACGCUGAGGUACGAAAGCAUGGGGAGCAAACAGGAUUAGAUACCCGAGUAGUCCCUGUCUCUUAUAC